UACGAAGGGGGCUAGCGUUGCUCGGAAUCACGGGGCGUAAAGCGCACGUAGGCGGUUUGCUAAGUCAGGGGGGAAAUCCUGGAGCUCAACUCCAGAACUGCCUUUGAUACUGGCGAUCUUGAGUCCGGGAGAGGUGAGUGGAACUGCGAGUGUAGAGGUGAAAUUCGUAGAUAUUCGCAAGAACACCAGUGGCGAAGGCGGCUCACUGGCCCGGUACUGACGCUGAGGUGCGAAAGCGUGGGGAGCAAACAGG
Molecule: ribosomal RNA, 253 nt
Filed under: uncultured bacterium
Lineage: Bacteria
Description: partial 16S ribosomal RNA
Rfam family: Bacterial small subunit ribosomal RNA
Source: RNAcentral